Molecule: ribosomal RNA, 206 nt
Filed under: uncultured bacterium
Lineage: Bacteria
Description: partial 16S ribosomal RNA
Rfam family: Bacterial small subunit ribosomal RNA
Source: RNAcentral
UGCGCAGGAGGUCUUGUGUGUUAGGCGUGAAAUCCCGAGGCUCAACCUCGGAACUGCACCUAAAACUACAGGACUAGAGUACUGGAGAGGGUAGUGGAGUUCACGGUGUAGCAGUGAAAUGCGUAGAUAUCGUGAGGAACACCAAUGGCGAAGGCAACUACCUGGACAGUUACUGACUCUCAGGCACGAAAGCGUGGUAGCAAAAG